UUCAUGCCCCUAGUCUACAUGCCAUGUCAAGUUGCAUCCUCUUCUUGCUUAGCUACAAGUGCUCAAUGCACUAGGAUAUACUCCCUCUGUUUCUAAAUAUAAGAUGUUUUGGAAGUUUAAAUUAUACUGCCAAAACGUCUUAUAUUUAGGAACGGGCAUAGUAUAUAAAAAUCUACCUCUUACUGAUCUCUUGUUGUAUAUUGGGAAGAGAAAUAUGCUUUGAAUCAUCUCCACAAGGAUGUAGAAUUACAUUUAUGGAAGGUUCGUAUUCAAAUUAUUAAAAACAUGAAGGAAUGAUCUCCUUUUAAAUAUGUUUGACUAGUAAAUGGUAUUUCUAUGUAGUAGCUGUGUGCGCAAGGAAGAUAAUACAGGAUAUCACCCACUUUCGUGCCUUAGCUCAAUAAAUUGACAUUAGUGAAAAGAAAAAACUGACAACCAUACUUACUCGUAGACUGGUACCUAGCGCAAGUAUAGGGUCUUGUAGACUGGUACAAGAAGAAAUUAAAACCAUUCCAAACAGGCCCUCUAUGGUUUUUUGUUGGAUGUCUGCAUUCUAGCUAAAGAUGACAUUGAAGUUAAUUGUCCUCCAUCUUGCUGUGAUAGUCAACCUUCUCUGUUUUAUUUCGACUCUUCUAUUUUUCCUGUCAUAAUGAUAGUCUUGUGAUAAGUGGCACUACUAUGUCAGAGUGAUGUUGCUCUGCUUUGUACCAACUUAGAAUUCAUGUUUUAGACUAACCUCAUAUUUCAGCUCGGCAUUAUAACUUAGGUCUUGAAAGGUUUGACAAGAUCUUGAAGGUGUCGGAGGUUGGGCAAGAUCCGCAAGGCAUCCAUACUAAUAUUUUCUGCUAAUUUUGGAAAAAGAAUGGAAAAGGAAGAGAAGAAGACAAUGCUGAAGCACAAGAGCAAGAGAGGCUAGCUAUACUUAAAGCAAGGAACAGCGAGGAUUCUGAACGAUUUGGGUCCUUUAAAUUUUCAAAUCUAAAUGAAGAUUUUGGAGGCCGAGCCAGUCAGGGACAAAAUAAAAGGAAGAAGGGACCCUGAUUGCUUUGCGUGGACACUGAUUACUUAUUUCUCUUGGAGGGUUACUAAAAUGCGGUGUCUACCUUGUGUUGGAAAAACUUGAACUCUAGGUCUACCGGAGAUUAGUUAAGAAAAUGUGAGUGUAAACUUGAAGGUCUCCUUGUCACAAUUUUACAGAAUGAACCAAUCCUUUUCGAUUUGCUUUCUUCUGCAUGCAUAUCAUCCAGAGGGAGAAGGAACCAUCGUCUAAGGUGCAUCAAAUCAAGCUAGAGGUUUCUGCAUCCAUUUUAGUCGAGUAGCAGUCUUGCGAAAGGUUUCCCAAAGAUACACUACUUGAUGGAGGUUUGGAUGAUCUACAAGCUGCUGAAGGUUUGCAAGAUCUACUAUUAAGUUGGUGGAGUGAUAAUGUAAUGAGCCUUGUUUGUUGAACCUGGAGACAUUGGCAAGUUGUGCUCAUAUUGGUGGUUGUUUUGGCACAUAAACAUGUAUGUACUCCUUCUGUGGCAGUCUGCUUAUAUAUGUUCUUAUGUUUAUGGAAUGAAGUUUAGGGUUUUUGAUGA
Molecule: long non-coding RNA, 1580 nt
Organism: Triticum aestivum (bread wheat)
Lineage: Eukaryota; Viridiplantae; Streptophyta; Magnoliopsida; Poales; Poaceae
Exons: 4
Source: RefSeq, a predicted model, not a curated record